This 468-nucleotide ribosomal RNA is filed under the name uncultured bacterium. RNAcentral describes it as "partial 16S ribosomal RNA". It matches the Rfam family "Bacterial small subunit ribosomal RNA", at positions 28 to 507 of the family's 1533-position model. The record is from RNAcentral.
GACGAACGCUGGCGGCGUGCUUAACACAUGCAAGUCGAACGGAAAGGCCCUGCUUUUGUUGGGUGCUCGAUUGGCGAACGGGUGAGUAACACGUGAGUAACCUGCCCUUGACUUUCUGAUAACUUCAGGAAACUGGGGCGAAUAUCGGGUAUGAGCUCCUGCUGCAUGUUGGUGGUUGGUAAGAUUCGGCGGUGGGGGAUGGACUCGCGGCUUAUCAGCUUGUUGGUGGGGUAGUGGCUUACCAAGGUUUUGACGGGUAGCCGGCCUGAGAGGGUGACCGGCCACAUUGGGACUGAGAUACGGCCCAGACUCCUACGGGAGGCAGCAGUGGGGAAUAUUGCAGAAUGGGCGGAAGCCUGAUGCAGCAACGCCGCGUGCGGGAUGACGGCCUUCGGGUUGUAAACCGCUUUCGACUGUGACGAAGAGUGAGUGACGGUAAUGGGUAAAGAAGCCACGGCUAACUACGUG